UACGGGGGGGGCAAGCGUUGUUCGGAAUUACUGGGUGUAAAGCGCGCGUAGGUGGCAGGCCAAGUCUGUGGUGAAAGCGCCCGGCUCAACUGGGCAUGGUCCAUGGAAACUGGUCAGCUGGAGGACGGUAGAGGCGAGUGGAAUUCCCGGUGUAGUGGUGAAAUGCGUAGAGAUCGGGAGGAACACCAGUGGCGAAGGCGGCUCGCUGGGCCGGUCCUGACACUGAGGCGCGAAGGCGUGGGGAGCGAACGGG
This 253-nucleotide ribosomal RNA is filed under the name uncultured bacterium. RNAcentral describes it as "partial 16S ribosomal RNA". It matches the Rfam family "Bacterial small subunit ribosomal RNA", at positions 524 to 776 of the family's 1533-position model. The record is from RNAcentral.